Molecule: ribosomal RNA, 498 nt
Filed under: uncultured bacterium
Lineage: Bacteria
Description: partial 16S ribosomal RNA
Rfam family: Bacterial small subunit ribosomal RNA
Source: RNAcentral
ACUCAAAGGAAUUGACGGGGGCCCGCACAAGCGGCGGAGCAUGUGGAUUAAUUCGAUGCAACGCGAAGAACCUUACCUGGGCUUGACAUGCACUCGACACUCCUAGAGAUAGGGGCUCCCUUGUGGUGGGUGUGCAGGUGGUGCAUGGCUGUCGUCAGCUCGUGUCGUGAGAUGUUGGGUUAAGUCCCGCAACGAGCGCAACCCUCGUUCCAUGUUGCCAGCACGUGAUGGUGGGGACUCAUGGGAGACUGCCGGGGUCAACUCGGAGGAAGGUGGGGAUGAGGUCAAGUCAUCAUGCCCCUUAUGUCCAGGGCUUCACACAUGCUACAAUGGCCGGUACAGAGGGUGGCGAGAUCGUGAGGUGGAGCGAAUCCCUUAAAGCCGGUCUCAGUUCGGAUCGGGGUCUGCAACUCGACCCCGUGAAGUCGGAGUCGCUAGUAAUCGCAGAUCAGCAACGCUGCGGUGAAUACGUUCCCGGGCCUUGUACACACCGCCCGU